Molecule: ribosomal RNA, 215 nt
Filed under: uncultured bacterium
Lineage: Bacteria
Description: partial 16S ribosomal RNA
Rfam family: Bacterial small subunit ribosomal RNA
Source: RNAcentral
UCUCAGUUCGGAUUGCAGGCUGCAACUCGCCUGCAUGAAGUCGGAAUUGCUAGUAAUCGCAGAUCAGCAUGCUGCGGUGAAUACGUUCCCGGGCCUUGUACACACCGCCCGUCACACCAUGGGAGUCGGUAACACCCGAAGUCGGUAGCCUAACCGUAAGGAGGGCGCCGCCGAAGGUGGGAUUGAUGACUGGGGUGAAGUCGUAACAAGGUACC